UAACGAAUAUUCCGCAAUGGGCGCAAGCCUGACGGAGCAAUGCCGCGUGUAGGAUGAAGCCCCUCGGGGUGUAAACUACUGUCAGGGGUCACCAACAAAAUGAGGAACCCCAGAGGAAGGGUCGGCUAACUCUGUGCCAGCAGCCGCGGUAAUACAGAGGACCCAAGCGUUAAUCGGAAUCACUGGGCUUAAAGGGUGCGUAGGCGGAUCGACAAGUGCUUUGUGAAAUCCCACAGCUUAACUGUGGAAU
RNAcentral lists this ribosomal RNA (250 nucleotides) under uncultured bacterium. Its description in RNAcentral is "partial 16S ribosomal RNA". It matches the Rfam family "Bacterial small subunit ribosomal RNA", at positions 355 to 621 of the family's 1533-position model. The record is from RNAcentral.